Molecule: long non-coding RNA, 1489 nt
Organism: Gambusia affinis (western mosquitofish)
Lineage: Eukaryota; Metazoa; Chordata; Actinopteri; Cyprinodontiformes; Poeciliidae
Exons: 3
Source: RefSeq, a predicted model, not a curated record
GAGGAAACAGGGAAAGAAGAAAGAUGAGUGGAUUAGUUUUAGAGCCUUUUAAAAUGCUUUCAUAACAAGGAGACAUGUUAAAGUCUGAAAGGUAGAAAUGACCCAAAAUGCAGCAUUUAUCCCUGAAAAAAAACUAAAACAGAAGAGUUCUUCACAUGCUUCACGGUAGAAACAUUUGUCCCACAUUGCUCACUUUGAAACCAAAAAUCAAUACAAAGGUUGGUGACCUUUUCUCUGGGAUGACAGACGUGAAUCAAAAUGCGGCACGGUGACACAAAGUGGAACAUCUGGUCACCCAACCCAGGGCUGCAUUUUAUUUAUAACAAAGUUAUUGUUUUCUGUAUGAAACCAUAGCAGAAACACGUCUGCAUUUUAUAUCUGGAAGUUAAAGACAAACUGGUUCUACAAAGUACAUUUUAAUCUUCUCUAUUAGUCAUAGUGAAACUUAACUUAAACAUUAUAUGAUUGGCUGCUAUGUAAUACAGAGAAGGUAUAAAUAAACAGGAAAAGGCAGGAAAGAAACACCAACACUGUGGAGCUACUCAACCACUAAACUGGGAAACUACUGAUACACCUAUUGGUCUGUUUUUUUCACCACAAAUUACCUUGAAACAAACAGUAAAAGAUGGCCGACCAGAUGCCUAGAAGAUUCAGGAUUACUGGAAAAUCACCAAAAAAGGAACGGAAUGAACAAAUGAAAAAUAACCCAGAGACGCUGUUUGUCACUCUCACACAAGGAAGGGAAGACAAAUACAUGUUUUACACUCCGAAUGUAGAAGAAUGGCGCAACACUAUAGAAGAAUCCUUCCCUAAAGCAACUGUUGUUUGCUAUCAAUGGCAAACAACAGCAGGCACCAUUAUGUUAUAUCCUACAACUGGAGUAUGUCUGAUACAAGGCAAUAGAACAAAAAGGAACGUUUUUUUAGAAUGGUUUAGAAGAAGGCUUCAUCUGAAAAAUCGUAAAACUGACCUACCAUGACAACGUCAGUACUAAAUACCAUAUACAGUUUCUAGUCAUUCUUCUUCUUCUAAUGACUUUUGAUGUAAUAUUCUACUGAUAAGUCAACCCUUUAAUAUUUUUGUCUCAAAUUUUCCCUUCCUCCCCCAACCAUAUUCUGGAGGUCAUGUUAGGAUUGCGGAGCGUUUUGUACUCACUCAGAAGAUGGUAGUUUGAGUCUCUCUCAUACUUGAAGGUCAGUCUCCCAUAGCUGACAUGAUUGAGAUUCUUCAGCCACUCGAAAUACGACACAGUCACACCACCAGCAUUCAGGUACAUGUCCUGCAUGGAGGAACAUCAUCAUCAUCAUGUAGUCCUGAUCGUUGUGAACAAAAUGUCUUCUGCAACCAAAAAUAUGCUUCAAAAUUUGAUUUGAUUUCUGUUCAAUAAAACUUUUCCUGUGAAAUCAUUAUCUGUAAAUUAUUUAAAACUACAAACAGGAGCUUUAUAUAAAAGCACUCUGCUUUAAAGGUUAAUAAAUACUAUUGAAAA